Molecule: transfer RNA, 65 nt
Filed under: Anabropsis maguanensis
Lineage: Eukaryota; Metazoa; Arthropoda; Insecta; Orthoptera; Anostostomatidae
Description: tRNA-Cys
Source: RNAcentral
AGCCUUGUAGUCAAUGUAUGAUGUUAGACUGCAAUUCUAGAGUAGUAGUGUACCUACUAAGGCUU